This 466-nucleotide ribosomal RNA is filed under the name uncultured bacterium. Its description in RNAcentral is "partial 16S ribosomal RNA". It matches the Rfam family "Bacterial small subunit ribosomal RNA", at positions 28 to 507 of the family's 1533-position model. The record is from RNAcentral.
GACGAACGCUGGCGGUGUGCUUAACACAUGCAAGUCGAACGGUAAGGCCCUUUCGGGGGUACACGAGUGGCGAACGGGUGAGUAACACGUGAGUAACCUGCCCUCAUCUCUGGGAUAACAGUCGGAAACGGUUGCUAAUACUGGAUAUGAGCUUGCAAGGCAUCUCGUGGGUUGGAAAGAUUUUUUUGGUUGGGGAUGGACUCGCGGCCUAUCAGCUUGUUGGUGAGGUAGUGGCUCACCAAGGCUUCGACGGGUAGCCGGCCUGAGAGGGCGACCGGCCACAUUGGGACUGAGAUACGGCCCAAACUCCUACGGGAGGCAGCAGUGGGGAAUAUUGCACAAUGGACGGAAGUCUGAUGCAGCAACGCCGCGUGCGGGAUGACGGCCUUCGGGUUGUAAACCGCUUUCAAUUGUGACGAAGCUUUUUGUGACGGUAGCAGUAGAAGAAGCACCGGCUAACUACGUG